RNAcentral lists this non-coding RNA (842 nucleotides) under Pongo abelii (Sumatran orangutan). The record is from RNAcentral. Lineage: Eukaryota; Metazoa; Chordata; Mammalia; Primates; Hominidae.
GAACACAAAAUGGCGACACGUGGUUAGCAUUCGUCGCCAACGAGAAAUUGGGGUCGGCCCGAAAGCUCUAGAAUGCACCCCUAUUCCUCCCCGGGGCCAUUCCCGCUCAACGAGUUUUAUGACCUAAAAAACCCCACAGGCUGGUCUGAAGGUCGGAGGCCUAAUUUUAACGCGUUUUCCUCCCUUUAAUUUGAAACGGGAACGCGAAUAACUAAAAUAGGAAGACACUUAAAGAUGAAGUGCUUAAUUCAAGGUCACAGAAUGUCGGGGAUGGACCUCCAGAUUUCCUUACUGGUGAGACGUGGUCUUGUAACACAGUGGUUAAGAAUGUGACUUUGGAGCCAGCCUGCUAGGGGCUGAAUUCUGACUCAGCCAUUUAUUAACUGUGUGACCUUAGGUCAUAGAAUUUUCCACACUCCUUGACGGAGGUUCUUAACCCUUAUCCAUCAGCAUUCUCAGACAGCACCUCCGGUUAGGGACAGUAUCUGACCGUCCGACAUCCCUGCAGCCCCCAUGCUGUCACACAGACUCAGCCUCAGGUAGAUGGUUUCCGUAGAUGGUGGCUUUCUUUGGACCCUUGAUAUCAACCAGUUACUAUUUGGGGACCAGAUGUGCAGAGGUAAUGAAUACCAGGGAAUCAGGAAACCACUGGAUCAGUUCUUUGAGCCAUAGAACAACACUCAUCCCAGCAGCUGGGAAGCUAUCUGCAAAAGUCCAUCUGCAGAAAGGGCUUCCUGGUCUUGCGUGUGGCUGGGCCAUUUCUCUGGAUGCAGGUUUUUCAUUAUACAGUCUUCUCAAAGGACCACCUGCUCUCAACACCUUCUCGGUGACUCCAUUUCCCC